GAAAAUUAGGUAAAAAGAAUUCGAGUUAGAUUAGAAUAUUUAAUAGCUAUAUAGAGUCCUGUUUUUAGUUUAUUUAUUUUAUUGAGUAUUUGAGUGUGAUUAGGAGUCCUUAUACGAGUCAAUUUAAGAAUUGUAGAAGGUCUUUAUAUAUAUAAUA
Molecule: long non-coding RNA, 157 nt
Organism: Telopea speciosissima
Lineage: Eukaryota; Viridiplantae; Streptophyta; Magnoliopsida; Proteales; Proteaceae
Exons: 3
Source: RefSeq, a predicted model, not a curated record